Molecule: ribosomal RNA, 495 nt
Filed under: uncultured bacterium
Lineage: Bacteria
Description: partial 16S ribosomal RNA
Rfam family: Bacterial small subunit ribosomal RNA
Source: RNAcentral
GGGGGGGGGGGGGGGGGGGGGGGGGGGGGGGGGGGGGGGGGGGGGGGGGGGGGCGGGCGUGUCGGGAGGGGUUGCGGACGGGUGAGUGACGCGUAGGGGACCUGCCUGGUAGCGGGGGAUAACGAUUGGGAACGAUAGCGAAUACCGCCUAAUAGUAGAUGUUGCAUGACAUUUGCUUAAAAGGUGCAAUUGCAUCACUACCAGAUGGACCUGCGUUGUAUUAGCUAGUUGGUGAGGUAACGGCUCACCAAGGCGACGAUACAUAGCCGACCUGAGAGGGUGAUCGGCCACACUGGGACUGAGACACGGCCCAGACGCCUACGGGAGGCAGCAGUAGGGAAUCUUCGGCAAUGGACGGAAGUCUGAACGAGCAACGCCGCGUGAGUGAAGAAGGUUUUCGGAUCGUAAAGCUCUGUUGUAAGAGAAGAACGAGUGUGAGAGUGGAAAGUUCACACUGUGACGGUAUCUUACCAGAAAGGGACGGCUAACUACGUG